UUAAGUUAUUAAGGGCAUACGGUGGAUGACUUGGGAAUAGGAGCCGAUGAAGGACGUGGUUACCUGCGAUAAGCCUUGGGGAGCUGGAAAUCAGCGUUGAUCCAGGGAUUUCCGAAUGGGGAAACCCACCAAGAUAAUUGGUAUCUUAAAAGUGAAUUCAUAGCUUUUAAGAAGGGAACCUAGGGAAUUGAAACAUCUUAGUACCUAGAGGAAAAAAAAGAGAAUUCGAUUUUGUUAGUAGCGGCGAGCGAAAACAAAGAAGCCCAAACCAUUAUUACUUCGUGUAUUAAUGGGGUUGUAGGACUAGCGUUAUAGAAGUUACAAAUUGUUUUUAUAGAGGAAGUAGUUGGGAAACUACAUCAUAGAGGGUUAAAGUCCCGUACUCGAAAUGAAAACAACUUCUUGCUUGAUCCUGAGUAAGACGGAGCACGUGAAAUUCUGUCUGAAUCUACCCAGACCACUGGGUAAGGCUAAAUACUACCUAUUCACCGAUAGUGAACCAGUACCGUGAGGGAAAGUUGAAAAGAACCCCGGGAGGGGAGUGAAAUAGAUCCUGAAACCAUAUUGCCUACAAAAAGUCAGAGCAGGUUAAUCUGUGAUGGCGUGCCUUUUGCAGAAUGAGCCGGCGAGUUACAAUUACAUGCAAGGUUAAGAUAAAUCGGAGCCGUAGGGAAACCGAGUCUGAAUAGGGCGAUUUAGUAUGUGGUUGUAGACCCGAAACCAGGUGAUCUAUCCAUGAGCAGGAUGAAGUAAAGGUAAAACUUUAUGGAGGUCCGAACCAGUAAACGUUGUAAAGUUUUUGGAUGACUUGUGGAUAGCGGUGAAAUUCCAAACGAACCUGGAUAUAGCUGGUUCUCUCCGAAAUAGCUUUAGGGCUAGCGUCGUGGUUAAGCAUAAUGAGGGUAGAGCACUGAUUAUAUGAUGGCCUCAUCUCGAGGUACUGAAUAUAGCCAAACUCCGAAUAUCAUUAUUGUAUACACGGCAGUCAGUCUAUGGGUGAUAACGUCCAUAGGCGCGAGGGAAACAACCCAGACCAUCAAUUAAGGUCCCCAAAUUUAUGCUAAGUGGGAAAGGAAGUAUAAAUCCUAUAACAGCUUGUAUGUUGGCUUAGAAGCAGCCAUCAUUUAAAGAGUGCGUAAUAGCUCACAAGUCAAGGAUUUAUGUGCCGAAGAUUUAACGGGGCUAAAGCAUAAUACCGAAAUUAUGGAUUUUCUUAUUAUAUAAGAAAGUGGUAGGAGAGCGUUCUAUACGGAGCGAAGCUAGACCGUGAGGACUAGUGGACUGUAUAGAAGUGAGAAUGCCGGCGUGAGUACCGAUUGAAGGUGAGAAUCCUUCACGCCGAAUGCGCAAGGUUUCCUGGGGAAGGUUCGUCCACCCAGGGUUAGUCGGGAUCUAAGGCGAGGCCGAAAGGCGUAGUCGAUGACCAACAGGUUGAUAUUCCUGUACCGUAAUAUAAAGGGAUGGAGUGACGGAGAAGGUUAGGUAAUGCAAGUCAUUGGUUGUACUUGUCCAAGCAAUAAGAUGGUUGAAUAGGCAAAUCCGUUCAAUUUAUAACAUUGAGUUGUGAUGGGGAGCGAAAUCAUUUAUGAGAUUAGCGAAGUUACUGACAUCAUGCUUCCAAGAAAAGCUUCUACUGUUAAUUUAUAUUAUGCCCGUACCGAUAACCAACACUGGUGCGCGAGGAGAAUAUCCUAAGGCGAGCGAGAGAACCGGAGCUAAGGAACUCGGCAAAAUAACCCCGUAAGUUAGCAAUAAGGGGUACCAAUUUAUUUGGUCGCAGUAAAGAGGUCCAGCCAACUGUUUAUCAAAAACACAGCUCUCUGCUAAAGUGUAAACUGAAGUAUAGGGGGUGACGCCUGCCCGGUGCUGGAAGGUUAAGUGAAUGUGUUAGUUUCUUUUUUGAAACGAGGCACUGAAAUGAAGCCCCAGUGAACGGCGGCUGUAACUAUAACGGUCCUAAGGUAGCGAAAUUCCUUGUCAGGUAAGUUCUGACCCGCACGAAUGGUGUAAUGAUCUGGACGCUGUCUCGGCUUCGGGCUCGGUGAAAUCUUAGUCCCUGUGAAAAUGCAGGGUAGACGCAGUAAGACAAUAAGACCCCGUGAAGCUUUACUACAACUUCGUAUUGAAUUUUGGUAUAAAAUGUACAGGAUAGGUGGGAGUUACUGAUUUAAUGACGCUAGUUAUUAAUGAAACACCCUUGGGAUACCACCCUUUUUAUAUUGAAAUUCUAACUUGCAACCUUUAUCAGGUUGAAGGACAGUGCGUGGCGGGUAGUUUGACUGGGGCGGUCGCCUCCUAAAAAGUAACGGAGGCGCACAAAGUUACACUCAAUACGGUCGGAAAUCGUAUGUAGAGCGCAAAAGUAUAAGUGUGACUGACUGUGAGACUUACAAGUCGAGCAGGGUCGAAAGACGGUUUUAGUGAUCCGCUGGUUCUGUGUGGAAAGGCCAGCGCUCAACGGAUAAAAGUUACUCCGGGGAUAACAGGCUUAUCUCCCCCAAGAGUUCACAUCGACGGGGAGGUUUGGCACCUCGAUGUCGGCUCGUCUCAUCCUGGAGCUGUAGUUGGUUCCAAGGGUUGGGCUGUUCGCCCAUUAAAGAGGCACGCGAGCUGGGUUCAGAACGUCGUGAGACAGUUUGGUCCAUAUCUACUGUGUCCGUAGGAUAUUUGAGGAGAGCUUCCCCUAGUACGAGAGGACCGGGGUGGACGUACCACUGGUGUUCCAGUUGUCUUGCCAAAGGCAUCGCUGGGUAGCUAUGUACGGAAUCGAUAAAUACUGAAAGCAUCUAAGUAUGAAGCGAACUCCAAGAUAAGAUAUCCCACUCAAUUUAUUGAGGUAAGUUCCCUUAUAGACUAUGAGGUUGAUAGGUUGGAGGUGUAAGUGCAGUAAUGUAUUUAGCUGACCAAUACUAAUAGAACGAGGACUUAAU
Molecule: ribosomal RNA, 2930 nt
Filed under: Hepatoplasma crinochetorum (SeqCode)
Lineage: Bacteria; Bacillati; Mycoplasmatota; Mollicutes; Mycoplasmatales; Hepatoplasmataceae (SeqCode)
Description: bacterial LSU rRNA
Rfam family: Bacterial large subunit ribosomal RNA
Source: RNAcentral